UCCGUAGGUGAACCUGCGGAAGGAUCAUUAGUGAACAUAGGACGUCCAACUUAACUUGGAGUCCGAACUCUCACUUUCUAACCCUGUGCAUUUGUUUGGGAUAGUAACUCUCGCAAGAGAGCGAACUCCUAUUCACUUAUAAACACAAAGUCUAUGAAUGUAUUUAAUUUUAUAACAAAAUAAAACUUUCAACAACGGAUCUCUUGGCUCUCGCAUCGAUGAAGAACGCAGCGAAAUGCGAUAAGUAAUGUGAAUUGCAGAAUUCAGUGAAUCAUCGAAUCUUUGAACGCACCUUGCGCUCCAUGGUAUUCCGUGGAGCAUGCCUGUUUGAGUGUCAUGAAUACUUCAACCCUCCUCUUUCUUAAUGAUUGAAGAGGUGUUUGGAUUCUGAGCGCUGCUGGCCUUACGGUCUAGCUCGUUCGUAAUGCAUUAGCAUCCGCAAUCGAACUUCGGAUUGACUUGGCGUAAUAGACUAUUCGCUGAGGAAUUCUAAUCUUCGGAUUAGAGCCGGGUUAGGUUAAAGGAAGCUUCUAAUCAGAAUGUCUACAUUUUAAGAUUAGAUCUCAAAUCAGGUAGGACUACCCGCUGAACUUAAGCAUAUCAAUAAGCGGAGGA
RNAcentral lists this ribosomal RNA (615 nucleotides) under Pichia cactophila. RNAcentral describes it as "eukaryotic LSU rRNA". The stretch from base 184 to 337 matches the Rfam family "5.8S ribosomal RNA". Lineage: Eukaryota; Fungi; Ascomycota; Pichiomycetes; Pichiales; Pichiaceae. The record is from RNAcentral. RNAcentral also lists the same sequence under 2 other names.